This is a long non-coding RNA of Varroa destructor (honeybee mite), 1491 nucleotides long. NCBI's taxonomy places the organism in Eukaryota, Metazoa, Arthropoda, Arachnida, Mesostigmata, Varroidae. The record is from RefSeq and is a predicted model, not a curated record.
UGCAGCUGGCCACAUCAUCCAGAAACAACGAAAAUCCAUUGGUAUCUUCAACUGUUUACGCUCAAAAUCUCAGCAGUCAGCUGCGACACACAGAGGGGUGUGCCUACAAUAACAGAUGGUCUUUCUUUUUGUUCUGUUCUGUGUUGCUUUCCCGCAAUUCGUGUGUGCGAAAAGAGAUUGCCAAUCGAAGCUCUGUUGAGCUACUUCCGCGUAAUCAACAGUCACGAUCACUCAGGAUACGGGGAAUACUGUGCCGAACCGAUUCAUUCGGCGUCAUCGUAAUCAGUCGAUUAUGCAGUAAUUUUCCUGAGCAAGAAACGCGCCGAAACUGCAAAUCUCGUGUGAACUGAAAGCUCCAGCGGUCGGAUUGGCCUAAGUUUGAUCAGAGGAAGAAGCUGCCGGCAGACAAGCAAACCCAUUCAUAAACAGUUCCUACAAGUACUCACUUAUUUGCAGCUGUUAUCUAACAUGACGGGGGUCGAUCGAUUAAACGGGAGAAUCAUUAUCGUGCUGAUCAAUCAUCCGCCGACGAUACCUAGAAUCGCCCCAAGUUAAAAUUGCUCCCAAUUUAACGCCGAUGCUCGCUCUUCGAUUGUACAUAGAUACUAUUAUUACGUCACAGUUAGCGGUGUAAUGGUGCUAUUAUAACUAUUAUAGCCAUCGCCCCUUUUACUAUUGUUCUGUAAUAACUGCAGCGCUGCCGGGCUUCGAAGAAACUGAUGGGCAAGUCACUUCGUAGAAAACCGUUUGUUUUCACGAGCAAUCGUUGGAUGAAGAUAGUCGUCUGCUACUGCAAUUUAUGCGUUUCUGCAAUUCGGUGCAAAGGCACCGGCUAUUCAACUGUUCGUCUACCCUGACUACCCCAACAUCAAGUCUACCCCGACUUUCCGUCAUCCCACCAACAGCGUUCCCAUGCAUGACGCCUUACGCGGUCCAUGACGGUUCAUCAUCGUUUUUUAUUCCUACGGUCUGAUCCUGAUUACCCAUCCCCCGUGCCCGGACAGUCAAAAUACUGUCAUGCACGUAGAAGUUGAAAAAUUGACCAAAUUGGUCGAAGUGACAAGCAUUAUAGUGGCGCGGACGCGUGUGACUAUCCGGUAUGCGAUUUCGCCUGCCUAACCAUUUUUUGGGGGCAGACGAUAUAAUGUGCAUUGGUAUUUUCCCGCGUAAUUUUCUCCUCCAGCCGCUACCUGGCAAAAUAACAAUCAUCAUCAUCAUCGACGUGGUCGUCACGUUUAUGACAACAGUGAUACGAAUUACAAAAAUACAGCAGUUCGCUCUCACGUAUGAAAGCCCAGGUCUGUUCAUGUAAAACUAGGCAUUACUACGCGUGAGUAUUAACCGACGCGGUGACGCGUCCAACAUUGUGGCUCCAUCGUGAUGGAACAAAGAGACGGAAAAGGAAAAAAACAGCUGUGGGAAAAAUGGCGAAAGCAAGUAUUAGCUACCAAGAACUGUUUAGUCAGCGGGUCUGCCUGAUCCGCUGGCUUG